Molecule: non-coding RNA, 350 nt
Organism: Zonotrichia albicollis (white-throated sparrow)
Lineage: Eukaryota; Metazoa; Chordata; Aves; Passeriformes; Passerellidae
Source: RefSeq, a predicted model, not a curated record
AGCCUCCUGCAGACUGAAAACAAUAAAGAGAUUCCACAGGGAUAUGUCUUGGUGGGACUAGAAAGGUGCUGUUUCCAUAUUGCUGAUCUCUGAGGGAAUUGUUCCAGUGUAAGCUCUUUCUGAAAUUAUUUUUCCUCCAGAGAGGGAGGAUUGCAGCCCCAAACUUGAUUCUGAGGGGUCCAGGAUAUUCAAGCCUUCAAAGGUCAUUCAGACACAAACUAAGACAGACCAUCUAGCAAGCAUGCGGGGAUUGAGUUCAAAAUCAAAUCUAGGUAUAUUCAGCAAACUUUAUUCCUCUCUCAAGAGUUCAUCCAUCAGUUUCAGCCUCCAUCUAAGCUGGGGAAAUGUGG